RNAcentral lists this ribosomal RNA (429 nucleotides) under uncultured bacterium. RNAcentral's name for it is "bacterial SSU rRNA". It matches the Rfam family "Bacterial small subunit ribosomal RNA", at positions 62 to 509 of the family's 1533-position model. The record is from RNAcentral.
UCGAACGAGGUCCAACCUUCGGGUGAAGACCGAGUGGCGAACGGGUGAGUAACACGUGGGGAACCUACCCUUCUCUCUGGGAUAACGCCGAGAAACCGGAGCUAAUACCGGAUACUCCUUGCGGACCGCAUGGUCUGCUUGGGAAAGCUCCGGCGGAGAAGGAUGGCCCCGCGGCCCAUUAGCUUGUUGGUGAGGUAACGGCCCACCAAGGCGACGAUGGGUAGCCGAGCUGAGAGGCUGAUCGGCCACACUGGGACUGAGACACGGCCCAGACUCCUACGGGAGGCAGCAGUGGGGAAUCUUGCGCAAUGGGCGAAAGCCUGACGCAGCAACGCCGCGUGCGGGAUGAAGGCCCUCGGGUCGUAAACCGCUUUCAGCAGGGAUGAAACUGACAGUACCUGCAGAAGAAGCCCCGGCUAAAUACGUGCC